Long non-coding RNA from Dromaius novaehollandiae (emu), 1989 nucleotides. RefSeq lists it as uncharacterized. Lineage: Eukaryota; Metazoa; Chordata; Aves; Casuariiformes; Dromaiidae. The record is from RefSeq and is a predicted model, not a curated record. The transcript is spliced from 3 exons.
UUGCUGUCGCCUCUCUCAUUUGAGAGGACAGAGAAAUAGCUGGAUUAACUGGCAACAGAAGAAACAUAAGAAGCUUUAGAAGACAGAAAGGGAAGAAAAUGAAACAAAACAGAAAAUUGAGAAGAAUCCUGAUCCUCUGGAUUGUCAUCCCACAAUUUUCUAUGCUAAAGAUUGACCAACUGCCAGCGCCUCUUUUGGAGUAAACUAGUUCCUUCAGAGGUGAAACUAAAGCACAUUUUGAAGGAGAAUUCACUCUUGAGAAUUUUCAAUAGGAAGAAGAAUAGAUGUGGACAAAACUACAGACAAUUUCUAACUCUUCAUCUCAAACAAUCCUAAAAAAAGGCUUAAAGCAAAAUGCCAAGAAAAAUCAAUGGGACAAAAUCAAUUUAAAGAUGCAGAUGGACAAUUUCUAUUGCAGCAAGAAGGCAUACGUGCAUAGCUGAGAAUGAAAUUUGAGUCACUGAGAAAACCAUUAUGAGGUUGCAUGGGCAAUAGAAAGUAAAGCAGAAGUUCUCAUUCCUUUUCCGUAUUCUACUCUUAAGGUAAUAUUCCUAACAAGAGCGCUGUAAUAAAAUUAACAUUUCACAGUAAAUACCAUAUUGCUAUACUCUUCCCUAAGCAUCUCUUGCUGUCGAUUGUCAGAGAGCUAGAUAAACUAAGCAGACGUUCGGUCUGAAAUAGUAAGGCAAUCCUUCUUAUAGCUAAGUACUCAGAAGCCAAGAAGUGCACUCCAGUUACUGUGCCACCAGCUUUCAUGUUUGAAAUGGAAGUGCAUUGGCAGAUGUUAUUAUACCAGAUUGAUGAGGGAAUUCAUGAGAAAAGUACAAGAUAUUCUAUUGCAUUUAAAAGGCAAACAGCAUAGAGUAUUAUUUCUGCUCAAAAUAGAUAUACUGUAUUCUGCUAUGAAUAUUAAAAAUGGCAUAGAAUUUUAUUAAUCCAAGCCACAGACUACACAAAGCAAAUAUGAUUGUUUAUAAAGUGCUUUAAUUUCUCUGAUAUCUCAUCUACCUUUUCCUUACACUUUGCCAUACUUAAGUCUCUACUUACAGACCUCUGGUGUACUUUUCCAGUGAAUGAUCCUCAACAUUAUUCCUUUGCUCUAUAAUUAACCUUUUGUUUAGUAAGAGCAAUUACAAUUAAAUUAGUAUGCUGAACUAUACAAUAUUUCAUGCUAAGCCUGCAGCUGUUGACUUCAUUUCAGUUCAAAUAUAGCCAAGGUACUGAAAUAGAUUUUUUCCCAUAUCACCUUAUUAAGGUAAUUAUAGGAGUCUUUAAAGAAGUACAGUCUUAAUAGAACUUAAAUUAACUUUUAAUUUGGACAACAGAUUUUUUGUCAAUAACAUAUUACAGAUGUUGCAGCUUGCCAUGAAAUAGCAAACAUUUAUGGAAUUAAAUGGAACAUAGUUUUAAUUCCUACAUACCUAAAUGAUAUGCAAUUGAUUCUGCUUUAAAACAUCUGUAAAAUAUGGUGUUUACUCAAACUUUUUUUUAUCUAUCUAAUCCCUUAUAAUUUUUUUUCUCCAUCCUGGGCUUCCUGACACUCACCUUUUUGCACAGAAUCAUUCAAGUGACUAUUAUUAAGACUGUGUCACUUAACUGUCCAGAAAAUUUAUCUCGUGAAUAUUUUGUUCUGCUGCAUUAUAUAACAGUUUUUGCUCUUUACGGGAAUCUUUAGUUCCAAUCUAUUCAUUUGUUUUAUUUUAUGGCACCUCAGCUGCCAGUCACACUCCAUAUAUGAUUUCAGCUUCUAUCCUCCAGGGUCAUCUGCUUCUACCUACAACCUUUUCCUUUUUCAGUUUUAUGAAUGAUGCAUCUGGCUUGAAUUAGCCCAUUAAUUCAUUCUCAACUGUGUUUAUUUUAUUUUAUUUUAUUUUAUAUCCCACCCACAGGGGGAUACCAUAAUCCUUUCAGGAAUCACUCUGGCUGUCACAUAACAGGAAACGUUGAAAUAUAUAGGCUUAAUGCUAAUUAUUAAAUAUGUAUUCACAA